This 873-nucleotide ribosomal RNA is filed under the name uncultured bacterium. RNAcentral describes it as "bacterial SSU rRNA". It matches the Rfam family "Bacterial small subunit ribosomal RNA", at positions 60 to 928 of the family's 1533-position model. The record is from RNAcentral.
AGUCGAGGGGCAGCACGAUGUAGCAAUACAUUGGUGGCGACCGGCGCACGGGUGAGUAACGCGUAUGCAACCUACCUAUCAGAGGGGAAUAACCCGGCGAAAGUCGGACUAAUACCGCAUAAAACAGGGGUUCCACAUGGAAAUAUUUGCUAAAGAAUUAUCGCUGAUAGAUGGGCAUGCGUUCCAUUAGAUAGUUGGUGAGGUAACGGCUCACCAAGUCCACGAUGGAUAGGGGUUCUGAGAGGAAGGUCCCCCACACUGGUACUGAGACACGGACCAGACUCCUACGGGAGGCAGCAGUGAGGAAUAUUGGUCAAUGGGCGAGAGCCUGAACCAGCCAAGUCGCGUGAAGGAUGAAGGAUCUAUGGUUUGUAAACUUCUUUUAUAUGGGAAUAAAGUGAGGAACGUGUUCCUUUUUGUAUGUACCAUAUGAAUAAGCAUCGGCUAACUCCGUGCCAGCAGCCGCGGUAAUACGGAGGAUGCGAGCGUUAUCCGGAUUUAUUGGGUUUAAAGGGUGCGUAGGUGGUUAAUUAAGUCAGCGGUGAAAGUUUGUGGCUCAACCAUAAAAUUGCCGUUGAAACUGGUUGACUUGAGUAUACUUGAGGUAGGCGGAAUGCGUGGUGUAGCGGUGAAAUGCAUAGGUAUCACGCAGAACUCCGAUUGCGAAGGCAGCUUACUAAACUAUAACUGACACUGAAGCACGAAAGCGUGGGGAUCAAACAGGAUUAGAUACCCUGGUAGUCCACGCAGUAAACGAUGAUUACUAGCUGUUUGCGAUACACAGUAAGCGGCACAGCGAAAGCGUUAAGUAAUCCACCUGGGGAGUACGCCGGCAACGGUGAAACUCAAAGGAAUUGACGGGGGCCCGCACAA